GUGAGGAAUAUUGGUCAAUGGACGAGAGUCUGAACCAGCCAAGUCGCGUGAAGGAAGACGGUUCUAUGAAUUGUAAACUUCUUUUGUGCAGGAAUAAAGUGGGUUACGUGUAACCUUUUGUAUGUACUGUACGAAUAAGGAUCGGCUAACUCCGUGCCAGCAGCCGCGGUAAUACGGAGGAUCCGAGCGUUAUCCGGAUUUAUUGGGUUUAAAGGGUGCGUAGGUGGAUUGAUAAGUCAGCGGUGAAAGUUUGCAGCUUAACUGUAAAAUUGCCGUUGAAACUGUCGGUCUUGAGUGCAAAUGAGGUAGGCGGAAUGUGUUGUGUAGCGGUGAAAUGCUUAGAUAUAACACAGAACUCCGAUUGCGAAGGCAGCUUACUGGGAUGCAACUGACACUGAUGCUCGAAAGCGUGGGUAUCAAACAGGAUUAGAAACCCCGGUAGUCC
RNAcentral lists this ribosomal RNA (445 nucleotides) under uncultured bacterium. Its description in RNAcentral is "partial 16S ribosomal RNA". It matches the Rfam family "Bacterial small subunit ribosomal RNA", at positions 354 to 796 of the family's 1533-position model. The record is from RNAcentral.